Molecule: small RNA, 568 nt
Filed under: Arabidopsis thaliana (thale cress)
Lineage: Eukaryota; Viridiplantae; Streptophyta; Magnoliopsida; Brassicales; Brassicaceae
Description: putative long intergenic non-coding RNA
Source: RNAcentral
ACGUACGUUACGUAGCAAAAAAGGGGAGAGAGUCUUAAAAAUAAAAUAAAAAACUGGUCAAGGAGACAAGAGUGAAGCUGUCGGGGUCGAGUCGAAGGAGGUGGAUAAGCACGCGCAGCCGGAGGAAAGAUAUGACCCACACUGAGGCCUGAGCCACCUCUUCCCACUUCAACAACGUUCUCUCUCUCUUAUCUCUAGUCGCUUUCACACCCAAAACAAUGAAGAAACUCAUAGAAAGAGAGAGAGAGAGAAACAAGAGAGGUGUGGUUUGUGUGUUGUGUGUGUGCCAUGGAACGAUGUGUCUUAUUUGUUUUUGCAGCCGUCCUUUCGUUGUCGGAUAUUCGGGUCCGAACUCCGGACCGGUCCUAUCAGAUCAAACCACUGACACCCUUCCCUUAUUCCUUCCCUCUCUUUCUUCUUGUCUUUUUCUUCCUUAAUCCUCUCUGUUUUCUGAUUCCUAUUGAUCCGAAGGAUGUUUUUUUUUUUGUCUUUGAAUGUGCGUGGAAGAGAGCUACUUUCGUCUUUUCUGUUAUGGCUUAAGCCCAACGGUCCAAUAUUUUAUCCUCAG